This 492-nucleotide ribosomal RNA is filed under the name uncultured bacterium. RNAcentral's name for it is "partial 16S ribosomal RNA". It matches the Rfam family "Bacterial small subunit ribosomal RNA", at positions 29 to 507 of the family's 1533-position model. The record is from RNAcentral.
AGUGAACGCUGGCGGUAGGCCUAACACAUGCAAGUCGAACGGCAGCACAGUAAGAGCUUGCUCUUACGGGUGGCGAGUGGCGGACGGGUGAGGAAUACAUCGGAAUCUACUUUUUCGUGGGGGAUAACGUAGGGAAACUUACGCUAAUACCGCAUACGACCUACGGGUGAAAGCAGGGGAUCUUCGGACCUUGCGCGAUUGAAUGAGCCGAUGUCGGAUUAGCUAGUUGGCGGGGUAAAGGCCCACCAAGGCGACGAUCCGUAGCUGGUCUGAGAGGAUGAUCAGCCACACUGGAACUGAGACACGGUCCAGACUCCUACGGGAGGCAGCAGUGGGGAAUAUUGGACAAAGGGCGCAAGCCUGAUCCAGCCAUACCGCGUGGGUGAAGAAGGCCUUCGGGUUGUAAAGCCCUUUUGUUGGGAAAGAAAAGCAGCAGGUUAAUACCCCGCUGUUCUGACGGUACUCAAAGAAUAAGCACCGGCUAACUUCGUG